GCCCUUAGAGUUUGAUCCUGGCUCAGAAUGAACGCUGGCGGCGUGCCUAACACAUGCAAGUCGCGCGAGAAAGCCCCUUCGGGGGUGAGUAAAGCGGCGGACGGGUGAGUAACGCGUGGACAACCUACCCUGGGGUCGGGGAUAACCCUGCGAAAGCGGGGCUAAUACCGAAUACGCUGUACAUUCCCUGGUUGUUAAUGGCUUCGAGGGUAUGUAUGGGAAAGGUGGCCUCUGUUGCAAGCUACCGCCCUGGGAUGGGUCCGCGUCCCAUUAGCUAGUCGGUGGGGUAACGGCCUACCGAGGCGACGAUGGGUAGCCGGCCUGAGAGGGUGAUCGGCCACACUGGGACUGGAACACGGCCCAGACUCCUACGGGAGGCAGCAGUGGGGAAUCUUGGGCAAUGGGCGCAAGCCUGACCCAGCAACGCCGCGUG
RNAcentral lists this ribosomal RNA (433 nucleotides) under uncultured delta proteobacterium. RNAcentral's name for it is "bacterial SSU rRNA". It matches the Rfam family "Bacterial small subunit ribosomal RNA", at positions 1 to 403 of the family's 1533-position model. The record is from RNAcentral. Lineage: Bacteria; Deltaproteobacteria.